GAGCGUUCAAACGUUUGAUCUUUCGGGUCCUUCCGGUGCACCGAUGGCAGCCAAAGUUCCCGGCAGCGUCAAGCCCAGACACGUUGCUCUACACGGGCCCGGAGACGGCGGACUUCCAGUCGCUCCUUCCAGCGGAACGAGGAGGAGGACACCUCUACCCUGAGCGUCAAGCCCAGACACGUUGCUCUACACGGGCCCGGAGACGGCGGACUUCCAGUCGCUCCUUCCAGCGGAACGAGGAGGAGGACACCUCUACCCUGAGGGCCAUUUGCUCACCGUGCAGGAGCCAUUUGGAGGAAGAGGUGACUUCAAGGGGAUGGAGGAGAAACAGGAAUCGGACAGUCUUCUGAAAGCCGACAUUCACGGGGUAGAAUCGGUGGAAACGAGAGGCAAGACAGCAAGCGGGGAACCAUCUCUAAUCUUCAGGACAAGAAAUUCAUCCAAAGAUGAUUCCGCAAGGCGUUUUAUGUUGCCAUAAUUUUCUACGAUUCAAGACAUUUGUUUUCCAUCAUGUCUCUGAUGCAUUAAUGCAACCGCUUCUCAAAAAGUACAGCCAAGUCGGUGCUCCAAAAUAUACCCAAGGGACC
Molecule: long non-coding RNA, 587 nt
Organism: Ornithorhynchus anatinus (platypus)
Lineage: Eukaryota; Metazoa; Chordata; Mammalia; Monotremata; Ornithorhynchidae
Exons: 5
Source: RefSeq, a predicted model, not a curated record